This 253-nucleotide ribosomal RNA is filed under the name uncultured bacterium. RNAcentral's name for it is "partial 16S ribosomal RNA". It matches the Rfam family "Bacterial small subunit ribosomal RNA", at positions 524 to 776 of the family's 1533-position model. The record is from RNAcentral.
UACGUAGGGGGCUAGCGUUGUCCGGAAUCAUUGGGCGUAAAGAGCGUGUAGGCGGUCCGGUAAGUCCGCUGUGAAAGUCGGGGGCUCAACCCUCGAAUGCCGGUGGAUACUGUCGGGCUAGAGUGCGGAAGAGGCGAGUGGAAUUCCUGGUGUAGCGGUGAAAUGCGCAGAUAUCAGGAGGAACACCUAUUGCGAAGGCAGCUCGCUGGGACGUAACUGACGCUGAGACGUGAAAGCGUGGGGAGCAAACAGG